Molecule: small RNA, 141 nt
Filed under: Priestia megaterium
Lineage: Bacteria; Bacillati; Bacillota; Bacilli; Caryophanales; Bacillaceae
Also listed under: 1 other name
Description: Bacillus megaterium c-di-AMP sequence
Rfam family: c-di-AMP riboswitch aptamer (ydaO/yuaA leader)
About the family: This family represents a conserved RNA structure found upstream of the ydaO and yuaA genes in Bacillus subtilis and related genes in other bacteria. The ydaO/yuaA element is thought to act as a genetic "off" switch for the ydaO and yuaA genes in its native state.
Source: RNAcentral
AACAAAUAUACGCUUAAUCAAUUAUGAGCGGGGGAUCCAAUAUUUUGUACGUAUGUACUAGGGGUGAAUCUCUUAACUGAGUAGGGUUACUUCCAUAACCCGAAUCCGACAGCUAACUCCGUAAGCGUUUUGGGAGUAAAA